AUGGCCAGUGUUGUCGGGUCGUUCCUCGCCGUCACCCUCAUGGUGGUGGUGGUGGCCACAUCAUCCACGCCGGUGGUGAAGGGGGAUGACAAGUCUGCUUGCGUCGACGACUACUCCAAGCUGUGCGGCAAGGACCCAGCGUGCACCACCAUGGUCGAGACCGCCUGCCGCGACAAUGGCGAGAGCGUCGAGUCCAUCAAGGGCAUGUUCAGCGCGCUCUCCAUUGUCGGUGGAGACAACUAUGAUUUCGCUUCUAUGGCAUGGCCAUGGGGGCACGCGGCCCUCUGCGCGGCCGUCAACGAGCAUGGGGGCUGCCCCGGCAACAAGACGGUCAGGCAGUUUGCCGGCGAGCACUGCAUGAAGGACCUCGACGCGGCAUGCAAGGAUCCCACCUGCGCCGACGGUGCUCACAUCGAAUGCUACGGUACAGCUUCGAGAUUUUGCUACAUCAAGGCCACCACCGCCGACCAGGACGCCAUAUAUGCCAACAUGGAUUGCUUCGUGAGCUGUUGUGCCAAGAAGAAGACGAGUGAAGAGUGCCGCAAAGUAUGCAUCCUCAACAAGUGA
Molecule: ribosomal RNA, 567 nt
Filed under: Triticum aestivum (bread wheat)
Lineage: Eukaryota; Viridiplantae; Streptophyta; Magnoliopsida; Poales; Poaceae
Description: partial small subunit ribosomal RNA
Source: RNAcentral